GUGUGUAUCCUCUUGGACCUAUAGUGGCUGAAUGUCCUUUUUGAGAUCCUGCAGCUGUUGACCCUGAGUGGGAGAAUGCCUUAUCCAGGUGUAGUCUUGUGCACACCUUUCCAGACCCAUAGCAGUGGUUUGGUUGCAGAGCUGUGAUUACAUGGACAUUCUCCACACUUGGUAUACAGCAGUUCAGACAUGCAGCCCCAUUGGAAUGUGCUGAUAGAGAUAUACUUUUAAUUAUUCGGCUUCAUUAUAUUAUGAUUGGAUUUGA
Pseudophryne corroboree (corroboree frog) is the source of this 265-nucleotide long non-coding RNA. RefSeq lists it as uncharacterized. The transcript has 4 exons. Lineage: Eukaryota; Metazoa; Chordata; Amphibia; Anura; Myobatrachidae. The record is from RefSeq and is a predicted model, not a curated record.